GCACUGACUGUAAUAAUAUGUUCGAUGGCAUUUUACCUGACUGCAGAACUAGCAUGGGAAGCGACCAGCACCGCUCCGGGUGAGAACGCCACAUCAAACUAUACGGAUCAUCGACGAGUGAAAAGAUCAACAAUGACUCUGGUGGUACCAACGCAUGGACUGGAUGAAGACAUCGUAACGGUAACAGAAGGGUCAAAUGUGACAUUCAGCUGUAACCCAUUCAUUAAGAACUGUCCAUAUUGUGGAAGACCUGAAUAUGAAGGCACAAGCAGCGCCGGGUAUGCACAAGUCUACUUUUGCAGGCAUCCGUGUAAAUGGAGUGAGGUGAAAGCCUACGAACAUCCUGGGAGCUACGGAACAGAUGGGAGAUUUAAAGUGGUGAAGAGAAGCAAGCGUGGUCACAACAAGGGCGGGAUGUCUGUCAUAAUUGCAAGAGUCAGGGCUUCGGAUCAAGGCAAGUACUACUGUGGCAUAGAUAAGACAGGAACUGACUGGUAUGAAGCAUUAAGCAUUGUCGUGGGCAAGCCAGCACCACAGCCAGUGAAACAUCUUGUUGAGCCUGCUUUUGAACCAGCUACGAAGGAAGAGGCAGCGUGGAUGGGGAACGAGGAAGCGGGCAGAGGGGGAAUGAAUCCUGCAGUGCAAAAAGCCCUGACAAGGUGCCAGGGAAAUAAGGCGUGCACUUUGGCACUGUUGCAGAAAGAGGAGCUGAAGAUAAACACCAGCUGCUGGCUGUGUCUGCAGAUGUCUCACUCAUGGAGAGCUGCUCCACUGACUGUAACCACCCUAAAGGAAACCAGGUGCCUGAUACCGCAACAGAUGACAGAGGUGCUGAUGGCAGCGGAUGAUAUAGAGAAAGGGAGGAUACCGAAGAGGAAGCCCGAACCUGACUGCAAGGGGACGUCGUGGAACAACAAAUCAGAGGUGAUGAUACCGCCGUUGAGAGUGGUGCACACACAAGGGGAUGUGUGUGUCUGUCAAACAAGACCCAGAUUGAAGCUGAAGGUGGGAUGGUCUGACUGCAGGAUCAGGAUCGACAUCAGGAAUGGAACAGCGAACAACUGCACAGCGAACAUUGAUGGAACACUGACAACGUUCACAUGUCCUUUCAGCAGACCGAGAGCAUAUCAUGACCUGCCAGAGAAAGGAUGGACAGGGUGUUGUUACCCAGCAUUAAUGAAUGUAGGGACAUCUGUGUACCUACCAAGUGAAGAGCCUGAAGGUGAGAGUAGAAAGAGAAGGAGUGUUAAUAUUUUACCGGGGGCUCUACCAGAGAGGUAUAAUGGGUAUAAGUUAUCAGAU
Cyprinus carpio (common carp) is the source of this 1302-nucleotide long non-coding RNA. NCBI's taxonomy places the organism in Eukaryota, Metazoa, Chordata, Actinopteri, Cypriniformes, Cyprinidae. The record is from Ensembl.